This 466-nucleotide ribosomal RNA is filed under the name uncultured bacterium. RNAcentral describes it as "partial 16S ribosomal RNA". It matches the Rfam family "Bacterial small subunit ribosomal RNA", at positions 28 to 507 of the family's 1533-position model. The record is from RNAcentral.
GAUGAACGCUGGCGGCGUGCUUAACACAUGCAAGUCGAACGGAAAGGCCCAAGCUUGCUUGGGUCCUCGAGUGGCGAACGGGUGAGUAACACGUGGGUGAUCUGCCCUGCACUUCGGGAUAAGCCUGGGAAACUGGGUCUAAUACCGGAUAGGACCACAUUUUGGAUGGUGUGGUGGAAAGUUUUUCGGUGUGGGAUGAGCUCGCGGCCUAUCAGCUUGUUGGUGGGGUAAUGGCCUACCAAGGCGUCGACGGGUAGCCGGCCUGAGAGGGUGUACGGCCAAAUUGGGACUGAGAUGCGGCCCAGACUCCUACGGGAGGAAGCAGGGGGGAAUAUUGCACAAGGGGGGCAAGCCUGAUGCAGCGACGCCGCGUGGGGGAUGACGGCCUUCGGGUUGGAAACUCCUUUCGCUAGGGACGAAGCGUUAUGUGACGGUACCUGGAGAAGAAGCACCGGCUAACUACGUG